AGCCAUUUUGAGCUUGCUUAAAUGCUUAGUGGCGAACGGGUGAGUAACGCGUGAGCAAUCUGCCUCAGAGUGGGGGACAACAGUUGGAAACGACUGCUAAUACCGCAUUAAGCCCACGGAUCCGCAUGGAUCAGCGGGAAAAGAUUUAUUGCUUUGAGAUGAGCUCGCGUCUGAUUAGCUAGUUGGUGAGGUUAACGGGCCCACCAAGGCGACGAUCAGUAGCCGGACUGAGAGGUUUGAACGGGCCACAUUGGGACUGAGACACGGCCCAGACUCCUACGGGAGGCAGCAGUGGGGAAUAUUGCACAAUGGGGAAACCCUGAUGCAGCGACGCCGCGUGGAGGAAGAAGGUCUUCGGAUUGUAAACUCCUGUUGUUAGGGACGAUGAUGACGGUACCUAACAAGGAAGUGACGGCUAACUACGUG
This 426-nucleotide ribosomal RNA is filed under the name uncultured bacterium. Its description in RNAcentral is "bacterial SSU rRNA". It matches the Rfam family "Bacterial small subunit ribosomal RNA", at positions 69 to 507 of the family's 1533-position model. The record is from RNAcentral.